AACAUCGCGCACCUGCGGGAACCUGCGGAAGGAUCAUUACAGAGUUGCAAAACUCCCUAAGCCAUUGUGAACGUUACCUAAACCGUUGCUUCGGCGGGCGGCCCGGGUCCUUCCCGGCGCCCCUCGGCCCUCGCGGGCGCCCGCCGGAGGUAAACCAAACUAUUGCAUUGUAUGGCCUCUCUGAGUCUUCUGUACUGAAUAAGUCAAAACUUUCAGCAACGGAUCUCAGAUCGGAAGAGC
Molecule: unclassified non-coding RNA, 240 nt
Filed under: soil metagenome
Description: partial contains 5.8S ribosomal RNA, internal transcribed spacer 2, and large subunit ribosomal RNA
Source: RNAcentral